UGAGGAAUAUUGGUCAAUGGGCGAGAGCCUGAACCAGCCAAGUCGCGUGCAGGAUGACGGCCCUAUGGGUUGUAAACUGCUUUUAUAUGGGAAUAAAGUGAGGGACGUGUCCCUUAUUGCAUGUACCAUACGAAUAAGGACCGGCUAAUUCCUUGCCAGCAGCCGCGGUAAUACGGAAGGUCCAGGCGUUAUCCGGAUUUAUUGGGUUUAAAGGGAGCGUAGGCUGUUUGUUAAGCGUGUUGUGAAAUGUAAGAGCUCAACUUUUAGAUUGCAGCGCGAACUGGCAGACUUGAGUGCGCACAACGUAGGCGGAAUUCAUGGUGUAGCGGUGAAAUGCUUAGAUAUCAUGAAGAACUCCGAUUGCGAAGGCAGCUCACGGGGGUGUCACUGACGCUUAAGCUCGAAGGUGCGGGUAUCAAACAGG
RNAcentral lists this ribosomal RNA (424 nucleotides) under Verrucomicrobiota bacterium. Its description in RNAcentral is "Verrucomicrobia bacterium partial 16S ribosomal RNA". It matches the Rfam family "Bacterial small subunit ribosomal RNA", at positions 355 to 776 of the family's 1533-position model. Lineage: Bacteria; Pseudomonadati; Verrucomicrobiota. The record is from RNAcentral.